RNAcentral lists this ribosomal RNA (305 nucleotides) under uncultured bacterium. RNAcentral describes it as "bacterial SSU rRNA". It matches the Rfam family "Bacterial small subunit ribosomal RNA", at positions 333 to 655 of the family's 1533-position model. The record is from RNAcentral.
CGUGUCCUACGGGAGGCAGCAGUGGGGAAUAUUGCACAAUGGGGGAAACCCUGAUGCAGCGACGCCGCGUGAGCGAUGAAGUAUUUCGGUAUGUAAAGCUCUAUCAGCAGGGAAGAAAAUGACGGUACCUGACUAAGAAGCCCCGGCUAACUACGUGCCAGCAGCCGCGGUAAUACGUAGGGGGCAAGCGUUAUCCGGAUUUACUGGGUGUAAAGGGAGCGUGGACGGCGAUGCAAGCCAGAUGUGAAAGCCCGGGGCGCAACCCCGGGACUGCAUUUGGAACUGUGUGGCUGGAGUGUCGGAGG